GAUGAACGCUGGCGGCGUGCCUAAUACAUGCAAGUCGAGCGAACAGACGAGGAGCUUGCUCCUUUGACGUUAGCGGCGGACGGGUGAGUAACACGUGGAUAACCUACCUAUAAGACUGGGAUAACUUCGGGAAACCGGAGCUAAUACCGGAUAACAUGUUGAACCGCAUGGUUCAACAGUGAAAGACGGUCUUGCUGUCACUUAUAGAUGGAUCCGCGCCGCAUUAGCUAGUUGGUAAGGUAACGGCUUACCAAGGCAACGAUGCGUAGCCGACCUGAGAGGGUGAUCGGCCACACUGGAACUGGGACACGGUCCAGACUCCUACGGGAGGCAGCAGUAGGCAAUCUUCCGCAAUGGGCGAAAGCCUGACGGAGCAACGCCGCGUGAGUGAAGAAGGUCUUCGGAUCGUAAAACUCUGUUAUUAGUGAAGAACAAAUGUGUAAGUAACUAUGCACGUCUUGACGGUACCUAAUCAGAAAGCCACGGCUAACUACGUG
RNAcentral lists this ribosomal RNA (497 nucleotides) under uncultured bacterium. Its description in RNAcentral is "partial 16S ribosomal RNA". It matches the Rfam family "Bacterial small subunit ribosomal RNA", at positions 28 to 507 of the family's 1533-position model. The record is from RNAcentral.